RNAcentral lists this ribosomal RNA (329 nucleotides) under uncultured eukaryote. RNAcentral's name for it is "partial 18S ribosomal RNA". It matches the Rfam family "Eukaryotic small subunit ribosomal RNA", at positions 1470 to 1796 of the family's 1831-position model. The record is from RNAcentral.
CCCUUAGAUGUUCUGGGCCGCACGCGCGCUACACUGGUGCGUUCAACAAGUUUACAACCUUGAUUGACAAGUCUGGGUAAUCUUUUGAAUGCGCACCGUGCUAGGGAUAGAUUAUUGCAAUUAUUAAUCUUGAACGAGGAAUUCCUAGUAAACGCAAGUCAUCAGCUUGCAUUGAUUACGUCCCUGCCCUUUGUACACACCGCCCGUCGCACCUACUGAUUGAAUGACUCGGUGAAAAAUUGAGACUGUGAGAACAAUUGAUUCAUUUCAAAUGUACUCGUGGGAACUUUUUUUAACCUCGCCAUUUAGAAGAAGGUGAAGUCGUAACA